GGUCGGAUUAGCUUAGUUGGUGAGGUAAUGGCUCACCAAGGCGACGAUCCGUAACUUGGUCUGAGAGGAUGAUCAGUCACACUGGAACUUGAGACACGGUCCAGACUCCUACGGGAGGCAGCAGUGGGGAAUAUUGGACAAUGGGCGAAAGCCUUGAUCCAGCCAUGCCGCGUGUGUGAAGAAGGUCUUCGGAUUGUAAAGCACUUUAAGUUGGGAGGAAGGGCAGUUACCUAAUACGUGAUUGUUUUGACGUUACCGACAGAAUAAGCACCGGCUAACUCUGUGCCAGCAGCCGCGGUAAUACAGAGGGUGCAAGCGUUAAUCGGAAUUACUGGGCGUAAAGCGCGCGUAGGUGGUUUGUUAAGUUGGAUGUGAAAUCCCCGGGCUCAACCUGGGAACUGCAUUCAAAACUGACUGACUAGAGUAUGGUAGAGGGUGGUGGAAUUUCCUGUGUAGCGGUGAAAUGCGUAGAUAUAGGAAGGAACACCAGUGGCGAAGGCGACCACCUGGACUAAUAC
RNAcentral lists this ribosomal RNA (518 nucleotides) under Pseudomonas sp. Z57. RNAcentral describes it as "bacterial SSU rRNA". It matches the Rfam family "Bacterial small subunit ribosomal RNA", at positions 234 to 740 of the family's 1533-position model. The record is from RNAcentral. Lineage: Bacteria; Pseudomonadati; Pseudomonadota; Gammaproteobacteria; Pseudomonadales; Pseudomonadaceae.